CUCUUGUUCUAGGCACUAAUCUUGACACUGAGAUCAUUACUUAAUACCUGGGGGGUAUCUGUCUAAUGUUUGUUUGUUGUUUUUUUUUUUCCCUUUAUUUUUUCUCAUAAUAUAAAUUUACAUUUCAGAGUCCAUUCACAUGUGCUAACCUAGUUAUGAGCCAGCUUCACUCUUCAUGAACUUCCUGCCUACAGGCAUUUUUUGUAAAUUGCUGUAAUAUGAUAACUGGAAAUCCUUUUUACUAUCUCGAAACAGGAAAUAAACAUCCUGUUGUGAGAAGAGAAUUAGAAUGAUGCGUGAUGCCUCUUUUGUAAUUUACUCAACUUGGUAGAAUAUAUUAUGUAGGAAGGACUUUUAGGGCAUUAAAGCAAAGAUGACCAGCCAUAAAUCAACCUCUAUGAGAGCAUGCUGAAUCCCUGUUGAAUAGCACUUAGAUCAUUCUUGUUCAGCUUGAGCAUAGGUAAUCUUUUGCCUUUAAGACUGAAGAAAAAUUAUCUAGUUUAGAAAUUAUUUAGGAGUUCAGCAGAUCUCCUGGCUCUGCAUUUUGUUGAUCUUCAUGCGAAUAUUUGAAUAAUUCAUAUUUUUUGUCUUGUUUAGAAGGUGUUUCCUUAAAUGUCAGAAGUGUCUGUCUGCAGAAUGUACGUGGGGCAGGCUUUUGUAAAGUGGAGAUUGCCUUUUUAUUGGCAUGCAGAAAAGUCUUUGAUAUCUGGGUUCUUGAGGAAAAUUGAGGUGUGGAAUCGAGAAUUGGGCAGACCCAGUAACUUCAGAGAGGCUGCUUGUAGAACCCAUCUUGUUUUGGAUGAGAUCUGGCUAUGUAGAAAAAAAGUGCAAAGCAAUCUACAUCAAAACAGAGAGUAGGUAAGAGUCUGUCCAUGCUCCAGCUUGGAUUUUGGUGUGAAAAAAGGGUGGAAAAAAAAGGAGAAACAAUGACAUUUGCACAAGAAAACAUAGAAAUGGAAGAAAUAAAAUCCCCAGAGGAAGAAAUUAGGUGGAAAAAUUCAUGACUAUAAAGUAACCUGCGUUGGAGGCCAGAUGUAAUAGUUGUGGUGAGACCCACAGAGGCAAAGCAGAAAAACUAGAGCAUGAAGACUCAGAGCAAACAUCGCUCACUGUUGCUUCUGUAGCUAAGAUGGUGAAAGGUUAUCAAGAUGUUUUCAGAGGACUGGGAUAUCUUCCAGGCAUAUUUCACCUUGAAAUACAGAUAGUGAUUCUGCCAAGAUGGCACCUGCCUCACUGCGUAACCACUGCACCAAGAGUGAAAGAGAAGAAACAGCCAUCAAAAUGAACGGGAAGAUGUGGUACCAGAGCUAUGGUCACAGAAUCCCUGAGCAUUGACUUG
Molecule: long non-coding RNA, 1339 nt
Filed under: Meleagris gallopavo (turkey)
Lineage: Eukaryota; Metazoa; Chordata; Aves; Galliformes; Phasianidae
Description: lncRNA (ENSMGAG00000022041.1)
Source: RNAcentral